Molecule: long non-coding RNA, 3311 nt
Organism: Leucoraja erinaceus (little skate)
Lineage: Eukaryota; Metazoa; Chordata; Chondrichthyes; Rajiformes; Rajidae
Exons: 3
Source: RefSeq, a predicted model, not a curated record
GCUGCACCCGCUGAGUUUCUCCAGCAUUUUUUUGUGUACCUUCGAUUUUCCAGCAUCUGCAGAUCCUUCUUAAACAAUUAUUAUCUUAGCAUGUCCACCUUUAAAUGCGAUCAAGGGCACACCUGCAUUUCUUUUGCACAUGAAAGUUGGCUCCGUGAUGCAGAUUAAAUCUCUCUCUUCUGAAUGUGAUCAUGAUGAUAAAUAGAUCUGAAUGAGGAAACUAACUGGAUGGGUGUGGAGAUUAUUUUUUAAACAAAUGGAAUGCUUUUACUUUUGAACGCAUGUAUUACUUUCACUAAUAUCCCAGCCAGAGAGGGGGAGUGUUAGAUAUUGCUUUGGGAUGCUAUCAGGAAGCAACCUACUGGAGAGAGAGAGAGAGAAGUAGAGAUGGUUCACCCGCCAUUAACUGAUCAACAGCUGCAACAUGGGCGAGACCUUAUCGUGCGGAUGGGGGCGAGGGAGUGGAUGGACGAUUGUUAACGGGGGAGCAGCAGUAAAGCAUGUACGAGGCAAUACAAUCUCGCAUUCACUUCCAAUGCACCAGAGGCAUUUUCACAGAGCCCAAUUAACCUACAAACCCGCACGUCUUUGGGAUGCGAGAAGAAGCCGGAGCACCCGGAGGAAACCCGCGCGGUCAUAGGGAGAACAUGCAAACACUACACAGACAGCAAGCCGAGGUCAGGAUCGAACCCGGGUCUCUGGCGCUGUGAGGCAGCUGCUCUACCAGCUGUGCCACUGUGCCAUCCUAGACUUAUGCAAGUUAGUAAAUCUUUUCAAAAUGUAUAUCUGUUUUAGGACAAUGGUGUGCUAUCCUGCAAUCAUAAUCUUGGAAUUAUGCAGCAGUUAGACAUUGUUGGAUCAACAUAUUAAAGUAUGUUGAUCAGAUUUUAAAUUAUUAGUAACUAUUUCAUUAAAAUCUCCCACAGAGCAGCUGUAAGCCAUUAGAUCCAUAGUUUAUUUCUGUCUAAUCUUAAAGUUCAGGAACUUUGGAAAAAAUAUGUUUAUUGCAAAUUUAAGCAAGUUAGAUUUGAAUGGCAAAUUCUAGCCUGCCAUUAAAAUGAACUGCUUUGAAUGCUGUCAUUUUAUAUUUUUUAGUUAAGUACUUGCUGCCACAGACACAAUAAAAUAAAUGCUGAUUGCUGUCGUUGUGGGGUUGUUUCCAUGGAGACUAACACAUUGUGAUACAGGUUUAGCCUUGGAUUUUUCUAUUUAUGUUAAGAUGGGAUGAUACACAAUUGGCAACGCACACCUAAAAUCUAGCUAAGUUCUGCAGGGCUUUGUCUGUAAAAUGAGAGCCACACUUUUCAGUAAAUGUGGUUUGAGAUUAAUUACAGAUUGAAUGUAUUUUACAUUUUCAUUUUCAUUUACAUUCAUUUUACAAGCAAAAAGGGGAUAAGUGGGGUUGAGAGGGAAAGACAGACCAGCCAUGAUUGAAUGGUGGAGUUGACUUGAUGGGCCGAAUGGCCUAAUUCGACUCCAAUAACUUUUGAAAGAGGAAAUGCAGUAAAUUAAAACGUUUCAGUUUAAACAGAUGAUUUCUCAAAUGGCAUUUUGCUUCUUGAAUCUCUUGACCGUGAAACAGGCGAAGCAACUAGAUCCCGCUAAUUAGUUUUCAUAGAAACAUAGAAACAUAGAAAUUAGGUGCAGGAGUAGAGGCCAUUCGGCCCUUCGAGCCUGCACCGCCAUUCAAUAUGAUCAUGGCUGAUCAUGCAACUCAGUAUCCCGUACCUGCCUUCUCUCCAUACCCUCUGAUCCCCUUAGCCACAAGGGCCACAUCUAACUCUCUCUUAAAUAUAGCCAAUGAACUGGCCUUGACUACCCUCUGCGGCAGAGAGUUCCAGAGAUUCACCACUCUCUGGGUGAAAAAAGUUCUUCUCAUCUCGGUUUUAAAGGAUUUCCCCCUUAUCCUUAAGCUGUGACCCCCUGUCCUGGACUUCCCCAACAUCGGGAGCAAUCUUCCUGCAUCUAGCCUGUCCAACCCCUUAAGAAUUUUGUAAGUUUCUAUAAGAUCCCCUCUCAAUCUCCUAAAUUCUAGAGAGUAUAAACCAAGUCUAUCCAGUCUUUCUUCAUAAGACAGUCCUGACAUCCCAGGAAUCAGUCUGGUGAACCUUCUCUGCACUCCCUCUAUGGCAAUAAUGUCCUUCCUCAGAUUUGGAGACCAAAACUGUACGCAAUACUCCAGGUGUGCUCUCACCAAGACCCUGUACAACUGCAGUAGAACCUCCCUGCUCCUAUACUCAAAUCCUUUUUCAUUCCACUUGUUUAAUUUCACAAUGAUUGGGGCAACAUAUAUUGUGUGUAACCCUUGGUCAGUAAGUCCCCUUUUCCAGCUUUCUUCUCUCCCACUUCAAACAGUGUGAAGAAGGGUCUCGACCCAAAACAACAGCUAUCCAUCAACAUCACCUAUCCAUGUUCUCCAGAGAUGCUGCCUGUCCUGCUGAGUUACCCCAGCACUUUGUGCCUUUUAGUAUAUUAAUUAGCAUUUGCAGAUCCUUUGUUUCAACUUCUUCAGUGGUCAUUCAGCUUUGGAGUCAGAGAGUUGGGAACUCAAGCCCAUGGCCGUGAAUUGUGCACAUAAUCUGGGCUGGCAACACAAUGAGGGAGUUGCCAUCAUGUGUGAGAGUUCUUAACCUGCUCUGUUGAUUGCAUGUAAUGAUUAGACAAUCACUACGUAAGGGUCUGUCCCACUUACGCGACCUUGGCUCGCAAAUUACGCGACCUCGUGGUCGCUUGAGGCGUACGGGCACCGUAUGGCAACGCGGGGCCGGUCCCACUUAGAAGCGCAGAGUUGUGCGAGGCUGGUCCCGACAUCGUGCGGGGCUCCGAAAUUCCUGCAGUGACUGAAAUCUUCGCGCGCCAACGGCCUGUCGCCCCGCGUAUGCACGCAGGCGCAUUGUAGUCGUACGCAGCGUCUUGACGUCGUACACAGCAUCUUGACGGCGUACGCCUAACGCGUGGCAUUGCGUGAUGACAUCACCGCCCGGCGUGGCGUUGCGUGAUGACGUCACCGCCCGACACUGUGCGACGCCCAAAUUCAGUCGGCCCGCCACCUGCCCAGCUGAUUUGUAAGUAUGACGUAAAUGACGUCACGCGUGAAUUUAGCGCGAAAUUAGCGCGAACUUCGCGUGAACUCCGCAUCCGGUUGGUCGCGCCAAACGCACGCAAUCACGCAAGUGGGACAGGCCCUCUAGCCAAUGUCAACUAUCAACAUAUCAGAUUAAUACAUCACUGAUGUACGUGAAACCUUACUGCCUAUAUACUGGUUGUUGAAUGUUUCUAUGUUAAAGCACAAGCAUUUAUAACUAACCAAU